GACGAACCGAGCGAACGUUGUUCGGAAUCACUGGGCUUAAAGGGCGCGUAGGCGGGCUAUCAAGUCUGGGGUGAAAUGCCGCGGCUCAACCGUGGAACUGCCUCAGAUACUGACGGCCUCGAGGGAGGUAGGGGCAUGCGGAACUGUAGGUGGAGCGGUGAAAUGCGUUGAUAUCUACAGGAACUCCGGUGGCGAAAGCGGCGUGCUGGACCUCUUCUGACGCUGAGGCGCGAAAGCUAGGGGAGCAAACGGG
This 253-nucleotide ribosomal RNA is filed under the name uncultured bacterium. Its description in RNAcentral is "partial 16S ribosomal RNA". It matches the Rfam family "Bacterial small subunit ribosomal RNA", at positions 524 to 776 of the family's 1533-position model. The record is from RNAcentral.